UUCACUGAGCUCGCGUCAGAGAGGGAGGGGUCUCUCAUUUUUUGAAAGGCAUGCGAGGUUUCCAUUUUUGGGGCUCUCUCUCCCUCGAUUGAACAAGCCCCUCCCUCACCCUUCAGCUUAUGAAGGGCCGAGCAACUAACGGCUAUCUCCUCUCCGAUGAUCGUGCCGCUAGUUCCGACCAGCUCCAGCCACUUGGACUUUAGGUCCAAUUCCUAUUUGUCCGACCCAACUGCAAUGCCAUACCUCAUCUUAACAACCUCCCACACCGACCUCGACCUCCCAGCCGAACUGCCAUCCACCGGCGAGUCCCAGCCUGCCGACCUGACCUCACUGACCUAAAACUCUUAUGUGGUCGGCCUACCUGUUGGCCUAUCGUAGCUCUGACCCGUCGACCUCACCAACUCAACACCGAUCAUGAACCUAUAGCCAUCCCAAGCUACUACUUAUCUUCGUCUUCCAUCCAAAUAAGAAUAAAGAGCAACUCAUAAAAAAAGGUGUAAGAGAUGGUGGUUGCUCUGUUUAGGCUACAACAAAUGAUGGAAGGAAAGGUGAAUGCAUUUCUAUGGAUAAUUUUCCUUUUCUGACUAUCGAAAAUUCAGGUUCGCCAUCUAAUCUUGACACCUGAAUUUUUAGCCACGUUGAUUGGUUACUUCUCCUUGCCUGAUUUGACAUUUAAGGGGAGUAUGAAAACACAUGAGCUGUGCUCAAAUUUUGGUAAAGUUUGGCAAACACCUAAGAGAAGAAUCUAAUGCCAUUUAUAAGUUUGAGAUACUUGACUCUAUAUUGAUUCUACCUGUGGAGAACCAUACAGAUUUUGUUUUACAAGUUAAUAUUCCAAGAUUUUAUACCUGCUAGUAAUCCUGAUCAUUUUUUUAUAUGAUAUUUAAUUUCUUUGUGUA
Long non-coding RNA from Dendrobium catenatum, 899 nucleotides. RefSeq lists it as uncharacterized. The transcript has 2 exons. The record is from RefSeq and is a predicted model, not a curated record. NCBI's taxonomy places the organism in Eukaryota, Viridiplantae, Streptophyta, Magnoliopsida, Asparagales, Orchidaceae.